Molecule: long non-coding RNA, 7068 nt
Organism: Alligator mississippiensis (American alligator)
Lineage: Eukaryota; Metazoa; Chordata; Crocodylia; Alligatoridae
Exons: 2
Source: RefSeq, a predicted model, not a curated record
GGCUCGCGGGGGCGGCGCCCACCUCCGUCCUACCUGCCCGCUCGCCCGCCCGCCCAGGUGAGACGGGGCCGGGCCGGGCCACACCCCGCCCCGCCCCAGCCUCCACCGGCCCAGAGGAGCCAGCCUCGGGGGCGGGGAGAGCAAGGGCGAGAAAAGACAAAUCAGGGAAAUAAAGAUGGGGUGUCGUGAUGUCCAGGAGCCGCGCCUCGCCCCGCUUUCUACAGGGAGAGACAGCGAGACGAAAGUUUGAAACAUGGGGCCUUCUGGAGAACGCAACCAGUGUUUCACUGAAAGUGAUUUCCACGCCUAAGUGAACAUUUCCAGACCUGGAUUUAUGGUUCUAACUAGAGUUAAAAAACAGUCUGCUGGACUGUGAAAUGGGAGCUAUGUUACCAGGAGCAGUAAACAGAGCAGCAUGGCUGAAGUAAGGAUCACUGGAGUAGUGGAAACAUUCAAGCCCAUGUAAAAGGAAACAGGGCCAUUAAUGCCUAUGGAACGAGGGGUUUAGAAGGAAUCAAGUCGAUUCUAAUGAGCCAUGAAGUCAAGUGACUCUCCCCCUGCUGCCUCAAAAGAAGGGCUGUUGCCACUGCCAGGGACUUGGCUUCAAACUUUGCAUGGACCGGGAAUCAAAGGGUUGCACCAAGGCACCUCCCCAUGGAUCCACCUCUGUCUCCACCUUUUCAGACUCUAGCCCGCCUGGGACAAUGCUGGGAGCUUUCCCACAUUUUUUGACUACAGAAAAACACUAGAGCAAGGGCCACUGCAGGGAACUCAGGCAGACCCCAGCUGGGCAGAAGGGUUUUGGCACUAUUCCUAUCUGAAAUCCCCAGAUUUAUCUUGUGAAUGACGUUUGCCCCCCUAACAGUGCUAGCAUUGCAUGGCACUUCACAGCACUCUUGAAAGGAACUCAAAGCACCCCAAGGUGCCGUGGCACCCUGGUUGGGAUUUACUGCUCUACCACAGGCGGGGGGCACUUUCCAUGCUCCUUCCAUCCCGCUCAGCUCUGGUGAGUGGGAGCUGGAGGAGACAUAGGCCCACCAGCUCUCGAAGAUUAUCUGGAUGGUCCUUGCAAUGCUACCUAGACUUGUAAACCCUCAGUUUCCAUGACGGCAGAGUUUUUUCCUUCUCCAAAACUCUUUACUUAGGUAGGCGUGGCAUGGCAUAAGCCAUGUACAUACCUACACACACCCACAAUGCAGUUUCAAGAGCUGCAGUUACAGCGCCAACACAGCUGGGGUACAACCUAACCCAGUAAUUCUUAACCGGGUGCCACAUCACCCGAGUGUGGCUCGAGAUCCUUUUAAGGAUGCCGCAAGGUGCCAUGCAACAUUAGCACUGCUAGGUGCACGAGCCCGAAUCACAGAAAAUCCCAAGUUCGAAGCGGUGCCACAGUGGUAGAUGCACGCUGGCCUGCUGUGGCCUGAGCUCUCUGCAACAGAAAGAUUGUUCUGUCAUUUUUCCACACUCAAAACACAAGUGCAAGCUAAGACCUGAAUGCCUUGAGUCUCAAAAGGUUGAGAACAACUGCAUGACCUCUCAAUGCCCACAUCAAAUCCAGGCCCAAUUUAGAGCCCAGGCAGCAUUGCCAUUGGAAAUAGGGCUGCAGAGCCAGAAUCCAGACUGAUGUCUGGUGCAAGAGGCUGUUUUCAUCCCUGAACAUCCAGAGAAUAUUUCUCCUAGCACCUUUCCACUGGUCGGAGCAUGAGGAGCAGCUGUUCAUCUACUCCCAGACCCACUUCUCCCUUCAUUAGGAGGGGCACCUCAUGGCAAAAGAGCCGACGUGUCCAUCCUCGGAUGGCCUGUGCCAUAUACAAGGCAGUCUUCUCUCAGACACACUUAAUACAAAUGGCGCAGGCUACCUUUAAGCGUAAAAACAAUAAUCAUUUUUCUGUCUCCAAAUGGCUGAGUCCUACGACUGGUGGAGCCCACCCCUUCCAUUAACAGAAACAGAAUUUGGCAAACGAGAAAGCUGCGCUGAGCAUCGGGGCUCGGAGAGAUUAAAAUAAAUAGCAGGGUUCUGAAAUGUAAAGUGUACUACCAAGCAUUAAUGAUGAAUUGUAACCGAGUCCAGGGGUGCUGUCAGGAGAAUUUACAACACCGACAUUUAAAAAAAAAACCAUUGGGAUAAUCUGUUCCCACAAGGAAGAUAAUUGCCAUCCUGACUACUCAAGUGACCUGCUCUACGUACCCCGUGCUGUCUGCCUGCCGAUGGGAAGUCAGCAGGAAAAGACCAUUCCUUCUUUGCCCUUUGGAAAACAUCUAGUAUCUCUGAAGACCAGCAGGAACUCAUAAAAAAAAAAAAAAACAACCUAGCAUGCAGAUUAGGAGCACUAACACAUAAAACUGUAAUCACUUGUGAAGUUGUAUUACAAUUUAUCAGGGGAAAUAAAAUGCCAGAAUACAACGUAACCAGGGAAAUUGUAUUGGCUGUUGGAAAAGGAAGGAGUGGUGUUUACUUUAAGCAGGUCAGAUCCUCAGCUAGUAUAAACUGUUAUAACUAUGUUGACUUCAGUGUAGCUGUGGAGGAGCUAAGUAAGUUUUCCUAGGAACACUGGUUAACACCAGGUAUGAAUUAUAACAACGUCCCGCAAUGGUUUUUGAAAGGUUAAGGAUCUAACAAAACCAGGAAAAGAAAAUACACUAUCUAAGCUGCUACGGUUGGAGUAACUCGCAUUCAUUUUCAGUUGCUGGCACCCAGCUUUUAAAUAUUAUAUCUCUCUUUUCACUCAGGCUUUUCUUUCUUCAAUAUGGUGGCGGGACGUCAAAUUGCUGGUCUAGUCCAGCCCUCCGGUAAGUAGAAGCAACUUCCUGGAGAAGCCGACUGGCUUGCACAAACUCAGACAAUGCUACAGAUAAUCUGGGUCCCCGAAUACCAGGAGAGCCUGCCACAUGCUUAACAACAUUAUCCUCUCUGCCACCCUCCCUUGGAUUCAUGCCCCAGGGCUCCUAGGGCCCAGCAAGAAAGUAAAGCAUUAUGAUUUAAACAGCUGAGGGAGCUCUGGGAAAAGAGAGAGAAGGAACACGUAAUGGAGUGUCAGACAGAGAGUCUGAACACUUUUUUCUGUGCUUUCUAACAGUGGGAAAGGGCAAGGAUGCAAAUGAUUUCAGGAAGAACUAAGUCCUGUCUCCCGGAGACCAUACCAAGAAAUGUCCGUCAUGCAGUGAGCAGAGGGAGUUGGUAAUCAGUGGGCACGAUCCAAUUCCAGUCUCUCAUCGGGAAGAAUCUGGUCUCACUCCACUCAACCCGAUGGAAGGACAGCCGAGUGAAAACAGCACACACAGGAGGAAGGUCAGGUCCACAGCACGAGCACAGCCCACUCCAGGCAGAAGGCCCUUGGGAUACACAGGGGACAUAUUCUCACAAGCUGGUCUCACACCCUGCCCAAGGCUCGUGCAGAGACACCAAGACAUGCAGAAAAGUGGAGUUCACCUGCAUCCCGCCACUUCAACCCACUUAACAGAAGUGACACCUGCUCCUCACGUCCUUAUGCCAGAAGGCCUGACCGUUGACUUCACUCAAGUGCAAAUCCAACACCUCCUCAGUCUCAGCUCCGCUGCCAAGAGACCACUUCUGCCAACUUGUACAGAGCUGACAAAGUCACCCUGUCCCUGCCUGGGAUGGGCACAGGUAUUGGCGAUGCAUAGGGGGUGCACGUGCAUCCCGAGAUUGGCGGUGCAGCCCCCGAAAGAAGCACUGCUGAUGCUGCCGGUGGUGCAUGGGGUCAGUUGCUGCUUGCCACCACUCCCCCUCACCGCUGACACUGCUGGUUGCAUCUGCGGACAGUUGCCAAUUGCCACUGACCGCUGCCGGCAGUGUCUGUGAGCAGAUGCUGACCACAGGUCAGCACUCACCACCCCUUCCCCUGCCACCGACACCACCAUGGCUGCCUGUGGGAGCUCCCUGCUCGCCACCACUAUGCCCCUGCUGCCGCCUGCAGGCAGUCACCAUGCCCCCGAGCCUCCAGGAGCACACGUCGUUCAUGGGCAAAGGGCGCAGUCCGCCCGAUCCUUGUGCCAGACCAGGCCCUGCAAGUUUACCUCAAGGCUUAAAUAGAAAGUGGGUCCCCCAGAGGGAAGUAAAUUUUGCCCAAAUUAAAUCCUGUGGCAAACCACUGAAGUUGCAGAUUGGACUGAAACUUUAAAGACCCACGUAAGUGAUUUUCUUGAACAGUUUUCAGCUCGGAAAUAUAACAAGCCGCAGACUCAACCCCCUGCUUACCCAACAGGUUAAUUCCAGGCAUGCCUUGGUUUUAAAGUAGUGUCAGUCUUGCCUGGUACAUCUUUGUUCAGACAAUUCAAUUGAUUAUAAAGGCUCUUGCUGGACCCAGCUCUGCUGUGAAUGAAGUGAACAGGAGUCUGGAUGCUAAAGGAUUAUAGAAGCAGCUAAGUUACAGCUGUCAAACUCACUUAGUCCUGUGGGUCAGAAAAAUAGACUGGUCCCAUGCCAUGGGGGCCAGAUCAGGCCCACAGACCCUCCCCUGCUCCACAUGCUCAACCCAGUGCCCACAGGACCUGCUCCCGCUGAUGCAGUCCAGGACCAACCAAAGCAGACACUUGAUCUGGCAUAUGUGGGACCUAUAGACCUCUGCCCUCCACAUGCCAGAUCCAACAUGCUCUCUGGCUGUUGUAGGACUGUGCCUGCUCCAGGACCCACACGGCAUGUGGUACUUGCCCCAGCCCAGCUGGAGUGGGUGCCACAUGCAACUCGCAUCCCAGACUGAUCAGAACAGGCACUGCAGGCACUGGAUCCAGCAUGCUAGGGAAGGGCAGGGAAGGAUCCCUGGACUGGCUCCAUAUGGUCCAGGUCUUGGGCCUGGCUCACGCUGUGUGGGUCCACUUGAGACCAAAUCUGGCCUGCGGGGCAUGACUGACACCUAAGCCAAGUCAUUUCUGGUGGAGCUCAUGCCAAGAGCUCUUCAGAAGAGUCUGCACAGCUUCCCAACCAGACUAGUAGGGGAGGGGUUGCUGCCUCUUGAGUAUCUUUACUUGUGAAAGGGUUAAAACAGCUGCUUGUUCCAGAGUUGCAGCAGCAUCCUCUUCUUGCUGAAUUACAAAGCGUAUAGCUUGGUUCCACUCUGGAAUACACAAAGACGGUUUUAUGCACUGGGUCACCGUGACUUGGCUACAUGCACAUCUUGUGUUUUUCACCCCAGCAUUACUGCUGCAUCCAUGAUCCAGCUGAUCAUGCUGGUGUCCCUCAGGAAAAUGAAUCACUGGGUUCUUUCACACGUGACAGAAGUGCUGUUUCUCUAAUGGCUAGUCCAGGGAUUUUUUUCAAUCAGCAUAUUUAUUUCCCAUUCCUGGAUCCUAAGGACUAGGGUCAAUAAUAGUGGCUCCUCAUGCGCUACUUAAGCGCAUCUUUGAUGGAGUCCCCACCACUGAUGGUUGGGAAGGGCAGGGAGUCCUCUCCCCGCAAGUCCAGUAAUGCUAGCCUGUGGUGGAAUUUUGUUACGCUUUCCAGAAUUCUUCAGGACCAGGUUAUGAUUUGGAUCAAGUAUCCUUGCAGCCUCCUCUCCUUGGGAUGAUGCUGAUUGGGGGCUGGGGGGAAUGCACAGAACCUUAGCCCACCCCUGCUUGAUGGCUAAACCAGUCCAGGAUGGGUAGUGAUAUCUUGCUAGCUUGGGCCAACAGUGCAGCGCUACCUCCUAGGAGCAGAGUGGGAAGCAUGGACACAACUGUGAUUACAGGUCAGUGAAAUUCAUACAUUAACUCACUGCUCAGGACUGUACCUACAGUCAUCUUCAAACGUUAAGGGAGAAGCCCUGCUCCCAUGCCCCUCGGCUCAAAACCAGGAACGAAUUCUCCAGCCGUUACACAUUUCCAAGCUUUUCAUUCUUGUCACAGGGGGGUGGUGGAGGAAUAUCCUUCUGAGAGCAAACAAUUUCUGACUCAUCCUAUCCAGGGAAACCAAGUGAGCAACACAAUGUACCUCUGGCCAGCACAACUGUGUUCUCCCUGUGGACAAGGCCAUAGAGAAACAUAGAUCCCAAAUCAACAUGUGCAUGGGGGGGGAAGGGGAGAAAGGAGACAGACUAUUGUUUAAGCCCAGUUACCAGUUUUCUCAGGUCGAGGCCCACAGAUCUCACUAGCAGCCUGCAGAGAGAUCCCCAGGACACGGAUGCCCUCUAGAUCUUCAGGCGACGAAGAGUCUGGACACCUGAACUAGGAACACCGAGGGUGAGCCACAGCUGCUGCUGCUGCGCUGUGAAGAGGAAAAUGGAGGGGGUCACUAGGAAAGCACAUGCAAAAGAACCGGGCUGCAUCUGUAGGUGGAGAGGAGCAGCCGCCGAUAUAGGAAGAAACAAAAGGGAUGAAUGAGGAGGGACAUUAAGUGACAAUGGAAAAGCCUUUUUUCUUAAAGGCCUGAAACGUGCCAGAACCAACGGGGGGCUUUCUGUUGAAAUGGGUGGUUGAAAGAUCGUCUCCAAAAUAUCCUCCUUUAUUACCUUCCCUAGUAAGUAACUGCUGUAGUAGCCUCAGGGACACUGUGAUGAUCCCGGACUGGAUCUACAGAACAGUCUAAGCUAAGAUGCGGGCCAGGCUUUGAAACCUCUAUUUUAAAGAGCAAGUUGCGGUUAUUACAUGUAAAGUGGGCUCUCCCUCCUUUAGCAGUGAUCAGAGUUGAUGGGUGUUACCAUGUUGAAUUAAUAUAAAACAAAAAGCCUUCCUGGAGGGAAAAAUUAAACAAUCCUUUAUAAAUAACCUAGUUUUCAAAUGUGCUGUUACCGGUAAUUCAUACCUGCUAGUUUAUUUACAGCUUCUUACAAAGUGCAGGCUUGGCUCAGUUUUAAUUUACUGCAACUCGAAUAAUAUGAAAAAAGCUAAGCAAUAACCCUACCUCCAGGGGAUCCUGUCUGAAGUAGGCACACUUUCAUAUCUUAUUACUACCCCUUUAAGGCAGCCUAAAUAAAGCACAAUGCCCUUUCUUAUAUUUGGUUUUAAAACAACCUCCUAAAUUAAGACAGCAGGGUCAAACUGACCACACAUUAUCUAGUGCUGUACUCAGCUGUUCCCUCAUAACUUACAUGUUUGUUUGUAAUCUUAUAAUAAAAAGAAAAGUCCCCCAGA